GUGAGGAAUUUUCCGCAAUGGGCGAAAGCCUGACGGAGCAAUGCCGCGUGAAGGAUGAAGGCCUAUGGGUUGUAAACUUCUUUUCUCAGAAAAGAAUUAUGACGGUAUCUGAGGAAUAAGCAUCGGCUAACUCUGUGCCAGCAGCCGCGGUAAGACAGAGGAUGCAAGCGUUAUCCGGAAUGAUUGGGCGUAAAGCGUCUGUAGGUUGUUUAAAAAGUAUUCUGUCAAAGAUUAGGGCUUAAACAUAGAUAGGCAGAAUAAACUUUUAAGCUAGAGUGUGGUAGAGGCAGAGGGAAUUCCCGGUGGAGCGGUGAAAUGCGUAGAUAUCGGGAGGAACACCAAAGGCGAAGGCACUCUGCUGUGCCAAUACUAACACUGAGAGACGAAAGCGAGGGGAGCAAAUGGGAUUAGAAACCCGGGUAGUCC
RNAcentral lists this ribosomal RNA (426 nucleotides) under uncultured bacterium. RNAcentral describes it as "partial 16S ribosomal RNA". It matches the Rfam family "Bacterial small subunit ribosomal RNA", at positions 354 to 796 of the family's 1533-position model. The record is from RNAcentral.